CCUACGGGAGGCAGCAGUGAGGAAUAUUGGUCAAUGGGCGAGAGUCUGAACCAGCCAAGUAGCGUGAAGGAUGACUGCCCUAUGGGUUGUAAACUUCUUUUAUAUAGGAAUAAAAUGUUCCACGUGUGGGAUUUUGUAUGUACCAUAUGAAUAAGGAUCGGCUAACUCCGUGCCAGCAGCCGCGGUAAUACGGAGGAUCCGAGCGUUAUCCGGAUUUAUUGGGUUUAAAGGGAGCGUAGGUGGAUUGUUAAGUCAGUUGUGAAAGUUUGCGGCUCAACCGUAAAAUUGCAGUUGAUACUGGCAGUCUUGAGUACAGUAGAGGUGGGCGGAAUGCGUGGUGUAGCGGUGAAAUGCUUAGAUAUCACGAAGAACUCCGAUUGCGAAGGCAGCUUACUGGACUGCAACUGACAUUGAGGCUCGAAAGUGUGGGUAUCAAACAGGAUUAGAUACCCCGGUAGUC
RNAcentral lists this ribosomal RNA (460 nucleotides) under uncultured bacterium. RNAcentral's name for it is "partial 16S ribosomal RNA". It matches the Rfam family "Bacterial small subunit ribosomal RNA", at positions 338 to 795 of the family's 1533-position model. The record is from RNAcentral.